UAAGCAUAUCAAUAAGCGGAGGAAAAGAAACCAACAGGGAUUGCCUCAGUAACGGCGAGUGAAGCGGCAACAGCUCAAAUUUGAAAUCUGGCCCCAGGCCCGAGUUGUAAUUUGCAGAGGAUGCUUCGGGCACGGCGCCUCCCAAGUCCCCUGGAACGGGGCGCCUGAGAGGGUGAGAGCCCCGUACGGUUGGAUGCCUAGCCCAUGUGAAGCUCCUUCGACGAGUCGAGUAGUUUGGGAAUGCUGCUCAAAACGGGAGGUAGACCCCUUCUAAAGCUAAAUACCGGCCAGAGACCGAUAGCGCACAAGUAGAGUGAUCGAAAGAUGAAAAGCACUUUGAAAAGAGGGUUAAACAGCACGUGAAAUUGUUGAAAGGGAAGCGCUCGUGACCAGACUUGCGCCGGGGCGAUCAUCCGGCGUUCUCGCCGGUGCACUCGCCCCGGCUCAGGCCAGCGUCGGUUUGGGCGGGGGGAGAAAUGCGUCGGGAACGUGACUCCCCCGGGAGUGUUAUAGCCCGGCGCGUCAUGUCCCCGCCCGGACCGAGGUUCGCGCUCUGCAAGGACGCUGGCGUAAUGGUCACCAGCGGCCCGUCUUGAAACACGGACCAAGGAGUCGAGGUUCUGCGCGAGUGUCUGGGUGUCAAACCCGCACGCGCAAUGAAAGUGAACGCAGGUGGGAGCCUCGGCGCACCACCGACCGAUCCUGAUGUUCUCGGAUGGAUUUGAGUAGGAGCGUAGGGCCUCGGACCCGAAAGAUGGUGAACUAUGCUUGGAUAGGGUGAAGCCAGAGGAAACUCUGGUGGAGGCUCGCAGCGGUUCUGACGUGCAAAUCGAUCGUCAAAUCC
This 844-nucleotide ribosomal RNA is filed under the name Zanclospora novae-zelandiae. RNAcentral describes it as "LSU rRNA". It matches the Rfam family "Eukaryotic large subunit ribosomal RNA", at positions 35 to 912 of the family's 3401-position model. The record is from RNAcentral. Lineage: Eukaryota; Fungi; Ascomycota; Sordariomycetes; Chaetosphaeriales; Chaetosphaeriaceae.